UAAUUUUUUUUUUUUGCAAAAUGAAACUUAUUCCCAUUUUUCGGUGUUGUUUUUGAAAUGCAUAGGAGUGGUGUUGUAGUUAAUGAAAGUGAGGAAGAUAGAAGGGCCACCCUACAAUAACUUGAGGAGUGAUAAAACUAUAUCAGAUAUAGGCAGCUUUGCCUAUAUCAUGGGCAAUUUUGUCAUUUCAAAUAAUUUAGUAAGAAAAGCAAGGGAAUGGGGUAUUCCCCCUCAUUCCAUAAGUUAGUUCAAUCUCUCUCCUCAACCUAACUCCUCAACCUCACUCAUCAUCCCACCCACCGGAGACCCACCCACCCACCCACCGGAACCGGAAGUUUGAAGCCGGAAUUCGCCGGAAAGAGGCGUAACUGUGUUUUUUCGUGAAUUGAAGGUAUGUUUAAUUACUUAGAAAAUUGUGUGGUUUACAUCAUGAAAUUUCUUGGGUUUUUUAAAUUUCGUGGGUUUAAUUCAUGAAAAUUGCAUGUUAAAGUUCUAAACAUGUCUUAAUUUCGUGUAUUAUAACUAGCAAAUUUCGUGUUUUUUCCAUUGGUGGGUUUUAUGGUGGUGUUAGAGCAAAUUGAGUGGGUUUUAUACUCUGAAAUUUGAUACGAGUUAUUUGAUGGUGAUUUUUGUUCUGAAAUUUGAAUUUUUACUUGUUGAAAUUGCUUAUUUUCCGGUAAUUUAUAUUACUUUGUAUUAUAGAACUUUUAGCAGUUCCGCACCAAAUACAACGUCAUGUUGUGUCAAUUCUCUGAUAUUGAGUUCUCCUUUUUUGUUGGUUUUUCAAUUAUGAUAUUGAAUAACAAAAUCGCCUUCGUUAUGCAUGGUUUACCAAUUGAUUGCUUUGCCCAAACCAGAAAGUAUUGAAACCAUGGUAUUUGGUGCGAAGAUCACCGUGCCAUUUCCAACAAUUGACCCACGAAUGAAUUCCAACAUCAACAAGUCUAUAUACUAUUUUGUAAUGUUUUGUAAUGUUUUUAGGUGGAAUUCUAAAGAGGAAAAGUUCUAUAUCUGUAGGUCCUUGUGACUAAUCAACAAUUGACCCACGAAUGAAUUCCAACAUCAACGAGUUAUUUGAUGCCGAUAGUUUAAUGCAAGUCAGGGGUGGUGGAGGAAGAUUUCACAGCGAAAUGGAUAGAUAACAAUGACAUGUUUGUUGUAUUUUGCGCGUCGGAUUGCUUUCUUUUGUAACGAUCUAAUGCAAGUGUAAUUUUAAGUACCUCACUUAGCAUUCUAAUGGUUGUAUGGAUAAUGUUAAGUACUUUGUAUGAUUAUGGUUUUAUGAAUAUGUGAACUUAUCAUUUUGUAUUUAAAAUGAAGCUUCAUAUUGUGUUUAUCAUUUCCGCUA
This is a long non-coding RNA of Beta vulgaris subsp. vulgaris (sugar beet), 1348 nucleotides long. RefSeq lists it as uncharacterized. The record is from RefSeq and is a predicted model, not a curated record. The transcript is spliced from 2 exons. Lineage: Eukaryota; Viridiplantae; Streptophyta; Magnoliopsida; Caryophyllales; Amaranthaceae.